Ciona savignyi (Pacific transparent sea squirt) is the source of this 82-nucleotide non-coding RNA. The record is from Rfam. Lineage: Eukaryota; Metazoa; Chordata; Ascidiacea; Phlebobranchia; Cionidae.
GCUGCGAUGGCCGAGUGGUUAAGGCGUUGAACUCGAAAUCAAAUGGGAUAUUCCCGCGAAGAUUCGAAUCCUGUUCGCAGCG